RNAcentral lists this ribosomal RNA (607 nucleotides) under uncultured bacterium. RNAcentral describes it as "bacterial SSU rRNA". The stretch from base 1 to 539 matches the Rfam family "Bacterial small subunit ribosomal RNA", at positions 338 to 873 of the family's 1533-position model. The record is from RNAcentral.
CCUACGGGAGGCAGCAGUGGGGAAUUUUGGACAAUGGGCGCAAGCCUGAUCCAGCCAUGCCGCGUGCGGGAAGAAGGCCUUCGGGUUGUAAACCGCUUUUGUCAGGGAAGAAACGGUUCCUACUAAUAUUAGGAACUAAUGACGGUACCUGAAGAAUAAGCACCGGCUAACUACGUGCCAGCAGCCGCGGUAAUACGUAGGGUGCAAGCGUUAAUCGGAAUUACUGGGCGUAAAGCGUGCGCAGGCGGCUUUGCAAGACAGAUGUGAAAUCCCCGGGCUCAACCUGGGAACUGCAUUUGUGACUGCAUGGCUAGAGUACGGUAGAGGGGGAUGGAAUUCCGCGUGUAGCAGUGAAAUGCGUAGAUAUGCGGAGGAACACCGAUGGCGAAGGCAAUCCCCUGGACCUGUACUGACGCUCAUGCACGAAAGCGUGGGGAGCAAACAGGAUUAGAUACCCUGGUAGUCCACGCCCUAAACGAUGUCAACUGGUUGUUGGACGGCUUGCUGUUCAGUAACGAAGCUAACGCGNGAGUGACGCGNGGAGACGGCGCGAGUGAAGUAAAGAAGUAGACGNGNGAGAGNGCGAGGACGACGACGAGGGAGGAGG